This 254-nucleotide ribosomal RNA is filed under the name uncultured bacterium. Its description in RNAcentral is "partial 16S ribosomal RNA". It matches the Rfam family "Bacterial small subunit ribosomal RNA", at positions 524 to 776 of the family's 1533-position model. The record is from RNAcentral.
UACGUAGGGUGCGAGCGUUGUCCGGAAUUAUUGGGCGUAAAGAGCUCGUAGGCGGUGUGUCGCGUCGGCCGUGAAAACCUGCAGCUUAACUGUAGGCUUGCGGUCGAUACGGGCAUCACUGGAGUUCGGCAGGGGAGACUGGAAUUCCUGGUGUAGCGGUGAAAUGCGCAGAUAUCAGGAGGAACACCGGUGGCGAAGGCGGGUCUCUGGGCCGAUACUGACGCUGAGGAGCGAAAGCGUGGGGAGCGAACAGG